This 265-nucleotide ribosomal RNA is filed under the name uncultured bacterium. RNAcentral describes it as "partial 16S ribosomal RNA". It matches the Rfam family "Bacterial small subunit ribosomal RNA", at positions 91 to 354 of the family's 1533-position model. The record is from RNAcentral.
CGGACCGGCGCACGGGUGAGUAACGCGUAUGCAACUUGCCUAUCAGGAGGGGGAUAACCCGGCGAAAGUCGGACUAAUACCGCAUGAAGCAGGGGCCCCGCAUGGGGAUAUUUGCUAAAGAUUCAUCGCUGAUAGAUAGGCAUGCGUUCCAUUAGGCAGUUGGCGGGGUAACGGCCCACCAAACCGACGAUGGAUAGGGGUUCUGAGAGGAAGGUCCCCCACAUUGGAACUGAGACACGGUCCAAACUCCUACGGGAGGCAGCAG